RNAcentral lists this long non-coding RNA (638 nucleotides) under Capsicum annuum. Its description in RNAcentral is "long non-coding RNA (CANN_LNC022598)". Lineage: Eukaryota; Viridiplantae; Streptophyta; Magnoliopsida; Solanales; Solanaceae. The record is from RNAcentral.
GAAGAGGAGGGAGCGGCAGCCAUGGAGGCUUCACCAGAAAAGGAAAAAAGAAGAGAAAGGCAAAAAAAGGUUUGGUUUGGGGAAUUUUCCGAUGUGAAAUCGCUGGUUAAAGGGGUGAUUUGGUUGACGUUUUCGCUGUUGGAGGUGUCGUCGGCGAUGGUGUUGCUGACGGGAAGCAUCGACGGGAAGAAAGAGGGUAAGGGGCGGUGGCAGAUCUGGUUUGGGGGUUGUUAUCAGCGGUGACAUGACCGAACAACCCGCUGGGUUGUUGUUGCGCUCUGCCAGAGAUCCAGCGAACUCGGACAACGAUAACAAAUAUUUAGUCUCCGUUGAAGACAUUAUUUUCGGUGAAAUUUGGCCGAAAAAAUAUGGACCAAGGUUGUCCUUCCUCUUUUUUUUAUCUGAUUUUCACUCACAGGUUAUCUGACUUCUCUUUUUCUUUUAAAAGUUUUCUCUAAAUUUUCAAUCUCUACCUAUGUCUAUUGCUGCUAAUGGAGUGCAUGAGUUAGUCAAUAGGAGAAAUGGAAGUCUGUUAGUGUGUGAAUAAAAUUGAGUGAAUGUGCAGAUGUGUGUAAAUGGUGUGUAUAUUUUUACUCAGUUUUAAUCAUGCACAGAUGAAAACUAAAACUAAAUGUUUG